RNAcentral lists this ribosomal RNA (253 nucleotides) under uncultured bacterium. RNAcentral's name for it is "partial 16S ribosomal RNA". It matches the Rfam family "Bacterial small subunit ribosomal RNA", at positions 524 to 776 of the family's 1533-position model. The record is from RNAcentral.
UACGAAGGGGGCUAGCGUUGUUCGGAAUUACUGGGCGUAAAGCGUGCGCAGGCGGUCUUGUAAGCCAGAUGUGAAAGCCCCGGGCUCAACCUGGGAACUGCAUUUGGGACUGCAAGGCUGGAGUACGGCAGAGGGAGGUGGAAUUCCACGUGUAGCAGUGAAAUGCGUAGAGAUGUGGAGGAACACCGAUGGCGAAGGCAGCCUCCUGGGCUAGUACUGACGCUCAUGCACGAAAGCGUGGGGAGCAAACAGG